UUAAAAAGCAUUUAAAAAAAUUAAGUCUAUAUAAAAAAAAGAGUUAAUAGAAAUCUUGAACCCCAAACUUACGGUGUUUGUUUCUUGUCUUCACCUGACUUUGCCUACUAGCCACAGAGUAAAAUGUAGAAACUAUUCUUUCAUAAGCUAAUAAUAACCUUAACUUCUCUGAAGAACUAGGAAAUCAAGGAAGACAUGGAUGCAUUUGUCUAUAAAAGUAAAACAGAAAAGUGUAAAGAGUGGAAUGUGGAAAACCUUGUUGUUCAUUCUCUCUCCCUCCCAGAAGCAACCCCUAUUGUGAGCUGGUGAAUUAGGCAGGGGAGCCCUGAGUCCUACCAGCCGGCCUUGGCCUGGAAGCAGCGUUCUCCUUUUCUUUCCUCUGUGGUUUGCAAACACAUGAGUAGCUCAACUAAUCAGGAAUUCAUUUCCAUUCAACUGAAAUCAUUUUUCAAUCUUCAAAAUGGGAGGAUGUUGUCACGCAAGGCUUUGAAGCAACUAAAACAAGCAAGCCUUAUCUAACUGUGAUACAAAUUUUUUAUCUGAAAGGUGAUGUUUUCAUACCCUCCUAAGGGAUGAUGUUGCCCCAGAUCUCAGUUGAGGAAAUAGCCUGCUCAGAGAGUCCACAACUGCCUUCUUUGGACUUUUGAAAAAUAAAUUACCUUGAAGUUAAUUUGGGUUAGUAAGCAUUUCUAAAAGUGCCUUAUUGAAAGUAAAGUAUCUUCAUAAGAUUUAUCUUGUGCACUCUCUGGAUUUCAGUGUAUCUCAUGAGUUUUUUAAUUUUUAAAUUUAUAAGAUACAGAAAAACACACACAACACAUAAGAAAUCAGAAAUUGUAAGCUAAUAGAUAGUGUAAUUCUCUAAAACACUUUUUGCAUUUUAUAAUGGGGCAAGACUACUCUGACGUUGGUUGCACGGGAUUUAGCAUAGGGCAGGGCCACCUCAGAUUCAUUAAAGGAAUGACAGAAGUACAGAGAGACCUACACAGCAAGGCCACCUUGGCAAUAAACCUUUAUGAUAAAGGCCUGCUUAGAGAAGACACUACAUCAUUACAUAAUCUACAGAUUCCCCACUUUAAAAAAAAAAAUCAUGUUAAACAGUAUACCAGCUUAUCUUAAAUUUUCCUUUAAAAAAAAGGUUUGCUCUCACAUGAUUUUUCUAGAACCAACAUGGUGGUUUUCAGCAUCUUUUUCUGCCUGUCGGACUGGGACUUCAUAGUUCCUAUUUCAGGGGAAAGUUCCUUUGCUAACUACAUAGUAUCUGGGUCAGUAAAACUCCAGCCUCCCCCUUGGCAAUGCAAAAAUCUGU
Pipistrellus kuhlii (Kuhl's pipistrelle) is the source of this 1306-nucleotide long non-coding RNA. RefSeq lists it as uncharacterized. The transcript is spliced from 2 exons. Lineage: Eukaryota; Metazoa; Chordata; Mammalia; Chiroptera; Vespertilionidae. The record is from RefSeq and is a predicted model, not a curated record.